AGGUGGUCACGUAGGGAACUCAGCCUUACACACGAUUGCUCAUCCCCUUUCCCUUCCAGGGCGUACACAACGGCAGCAGCACAAGCCUGGAUACACACACACACACACACAUACCUUCUUUUUUAUUUCUUGGCGCGUGCGUUGUUCGGGGGCCCAUUGGGUGAGGCCUCUGCUGCGCACACGUCGUCAUGUGCUGUCGGGGUGCGGGGCGCUUUGGUUUCUCGCUCUGGUCUCUUCCUCUCCCUCCCUCCCUCUUACCCACAUGCCGUGCCUCUUGCACCUCAAUCCCGUUGUCUUCGUCGGCGCCUGCUGCUCUCCAUGCCGCCCCUCUUUCUGAAACGGCUCGGGCGAAAACCGAAUCCAACGAGUGGCGAGGCGGAUGCGCCGUAUACACGCGCAGAGAGGGGGAGAGGGAGGGAGAGGUGCGAAGUAGUGGACAAGAAACCAGAGCAGCAUCAGGACAUAUGUGGUAUUGUUUUUAUCACAUGUCUGUACAGAUGAGGAUAGAGUAAAAACACAGGAACCCCACUCUAGUGUACGUGCUCACACCCACGUGCGCACUACGUCACCCUUAGCGCGUUAGGAGAGGGUUUAAUGCAAAGGGCAUAGAGGGAGGGGGGCACGCUGCCAUCACUACGCACAUGGACGCAGUGGUGGAUUGAGUCGAAUGAGUGGAGAAGAGACGCGGCAUUCUUUCCUCGACGCUCACCCUUAUGCACAGGCGAUGCAGCUGCUAGCUGAUGUGUUUGGACCACCAGCCGCGCCACUACUGUAUCCACUGAGGUUUCGUCUCUUUUCGCUUCACCCGCAUUCUCAG
Molecule: unclassified non-coding RNA, 817 nt
Filed under: Leishmania donovani
Lineage: Eukaryota; Euglenozoa; Kinetoplastea; Trypanosomatida; Trypanosomatidae
Description: gene:unknown
Source: RNAcentral